RNAcentral lists this ribosomal RNA (434 nucleotides) under uncultured bacterium. Its description in RNAcentral is "partial 16S ribosomal RNA". It matches the Rfam family "Bacterial small subunit ribosomal RNA", at positions 29 to 507 of the family's 1533-position model. The record is from RNAcentral.
AGCGAACGCUGGCGGCAGGCCUAACACAUGCAAGUCGAACGAACCUUUCGGGGUUAGUGGCGGACGGGUGAGUAACACGUGGGAACGUGCCUUUAGGUUCGGAAUAACUCAGGGAAACUUGUGCUAAUACCGAAUGUGCCCUUCGGGGGAAAGAUUUAUCGCCUUUAGAACGGCCCGCGUCUGAUUAGCUAGUUGGUUGAGGUAAUGGCUCACCAAGGCGACGAUCAGUAGCUGGUCUGAGAGGAUGAUCAGCCACAUUGGGACUGAGACACGGCCCAAACUCCUACGGGAGGCAGCAGUGGGGAAUCUUGCGCAAUGGGCGAAAGCCUGACGCAGCCAUGCCGCGUGAAUGAUGAAGGUCUUAGGAUUGUAAAAUUCUUUCACCGGGGACGAUAAUGACGGUACCCGGAGAAGAAGCCCCGGCUAACUUCGUG